RNAcentral lists this ribosomal RNA (237 nucleotides) under uncultured nitrite-oxidizing bacterium. Its description in RNAcentral is "partial 16S ribosomal RNA". It matches the Rfam family "Bacterial small subunit ribosomal RNA", at positions 524 to 760 of the family's 1533-position model. The record is from RNAcentral.
UACGAAGGUGGCAAGCGUUGUUCGGAUUCACUGGGCGUACAGGGAGCGUAGGCGGUUGGGUAAGCCCUCCGUGAAAUCUCCGGGCCUAACCCGGAAAGUGCAGAGGGGACUGCUCAGCUAGAGGAUGGGAGAGGAGCGCGGAAUUCCCGGUGUAGCGGUGAAAUGCGUAGAGAUCGGGAGGAAGGCCGGUGGCGAAGGCGGCGCUCUGGAACAUUUCUGACGCUGAGGCUCGAAAGC